AAAGCCCGCUACUUGAAACGAACCGGAUUUCCUGUUUAUGCGCUGUGUUCGCUUCAGAAUUAUAAUUUACAGUAGGAUGUCGGCCAUUUCUACUUCGUAUACAGCGUGGUGUGGUCGUUAUUCUUACGCAGUCGAGUAAGGUAACGACUAUACAAAAUGGUUAACGGACGGAUACCCUCAGUUUUUUCAAAAACUUAUGUUACUCCAAGGAGACCUUAUGAGAAGGCUCGUUUAGAUCAAGAGUUGCGAAUUAUUGGUGAAUAUGGUCUUCGUAACAAGCGUGAAGUAUGGAGAGUUAAAUACACACUAGCAAAUAUUCGAAAAGCUGCUCGUGAGCUUCUUACUUUGGAAGAAAAGGAUCCUAAACGUUUGUUCGAAGGAAAUGCUCUUUUGCGUCGCUUGGUAAGAAUUGGAGUGUUAGAUGAAAGCCGUAUGAAACUUGAUUAUGUUCUUGGCUUGAAAAUUGAGGAUUUCUUAGAAAGACGACUUCAAACUCAAGUAUUCAAAUUGGGACUUGCUAAAUCUAUUCAUCAUGCCCGUGUGCUUAUUCGUCAACGUCAUAUUAGGUAUUCAAACAUUCCUGAUUGUCCAAUGAAAACAGUAGAAAAAAUGUGAUUUUAAAUAUUGGCUGGGUAGCUAUGAUACUCAAGAAUAUGCGGCACUGUGUAUUAAUAUUUUCUUUCAGGCAGGCCACUUGAGUGUUAGGAAACUAGCACUUAACGUCUGUCGCGUACUUACGGAUACGUAUUCGCGUUAAAAAUAUAUAAUUGAGUGCGCAAACAAGUGGUGAACAUUCCAUCUUUCAUUGUGAGAUUGGAUUCACAAAAGCACAUUGACUUCUCUCUAAAAUCUCCAUUUGGUGGUGGUAGACCUGGUCGUGUCAAGAGGAAGAACUUGCGUAAGGGAAGCGGAGGAGCUGCUCCAGAGGAAGAAGAAGAUUAAAUCAUUUGUUUUGUAAUACUUUAAAUAAAAGUAUACCUUAAAUGUUCAAUAA
RNA transcript from Bombus terrestris (buff-tailed bumblebee), 994 nucleotides. It is a transcript of the gene named 40S ribosomal protein S9, with no coding region annotated. The record is from RefSeq and is a predicted model, not a curated record. The transcript is spliced from 5 exons. NCBI's taxonomy places the organism in Eukaryota, Metazoa, Arthropoda, Insecta, Hymenoptera, Apidae.